RNAcentral lists this transfer RNA (69 nucleotides) under Bromeliohyla bromeliacia (bromeliad treefrog). RNAcentral's name for it is "tRNA-Val". It matches the Rfam family "tRNA". Rfam says of the family: Transfer RNA (tRNA) molecules are approximately 80 nucleotides in length. The record is from RNAcentral. Lineage: Eukaryota; Metazoa; Chordata; Amphibia; Anura; Hylidae.
CAUAAUGUAGCCUAAUUAAAGCCCCUCGCUUACACCGAGGAGAUAUCUGUUAAAUUCGGAUCAUUUUGA